GAUGAACGCUGGCGGCGUGCCUAACACAUGCAAGUCGAGCGGGAAAUUUAUGAAAGAGAUUUCGGUCAAUUGAGUAAAUGGAGAGCGGCGGACGGGUGAGUAACGCGUAGGCAACCUGCCCCAUACCCAGGGAUAGCCUCGGGAAACCGGGAUUAAAACCUGAUAAAGCUUGGAAGUCACAUGGCAUUCGAGUCAAAGAUUUAUCGGUAAGGGAUGGGCCUGCGUCUGAUUAGUUAGUUGGUGGGGUAACGGCCUACCAAGACAGCGAUCAGUAGCCGACCUGAGAGGGUGAACGGCCACAUUGGAACUGAGACACGGUCCAAACUCCUACGGGAGGCAGCAGUGGGGAAUAUUGCACAAUGGGCGAAAGCCUGAUGCAGCAACGCCGCGUGAAGGAAGAAGGCCUUUGGGUCGUAAACUUCUGUUCUUAGGGAAGAGAACGGACGGUACCUAAGGAGUAAGCCCCGGCUAACUACGUGCCAGCAGCCGCGGUAAUACGUAGGGGGCGAGCGUUAUCCGGAAUUAUUGGGCGUAAAGAGUGCGUAGGUGGUUUUGUAAGCGAGAGGUGAAAGGCAAUGGCUCAACCAUUGUAAGCCUUUGGAACUGCGAGACUUGAGUGCAGGAGAGGUAAGCGGAAUUCCUAGUGUAGCGGUGAAAUGCGUAGAUAUUAGGAGGAACACCGGUGGCGAAGGCGGCUUACUGGACUGAAACUGACACUG
Molecule: ribosomal RNA, 719 nt
Filed under: uncultured bacterium
Lineage: Bacteria
Description: bacterial SSU rRNA
Rfam family: Bacterial small subunit ribosomal RNA
Source: RNAcentral